RNAcentral lists this ribosomal RNA (425 nucleotides) under uncultured prokaryote. Its description in RNAcentral is "bacterial SSU rRNA". It matches the Rfam family "Bacterial small subunit ribosomal RNA", at positions 355 to 774 of the family's 1533-position model. The record is from RNAcentral.
UGGGGAAUCGUGGUCAACGGGCGAAAGCCUGAACCUGCGACGCCGCGUGAGUGAUGAAGGUCGUAAGAUCGUAAAACUCUUUUCAGGGAUCUUAAAGCCUGUCUGUCAACAACAGGCAGGUCUGGCUCUCCCUGGAAGAAGCCCCAGCCAACUACGUGCCAGCAGCUGCGGUAAUACGUAGGGGGCGAGCGUUAUUCGGAAUUACUGGGUGUAAAGGGUAUGUAGGCGGCCCUUCAAGUCGCGUGUCAAAGUCCAGUGCUCAACGCUGGGUGUGCGCGCGAUACUGACGGGCUUGAGGGCUGGAGAGGUGAGCGGAAUUCCCGGUGUAGUGGUAAAAUACGUAGAGAUCGGGAGGAACACCAGCGGCGCAGGCGGCUCACUAGACAGUUUCUGACGCUAAGAUACGAAAGCGUGGGGAGCAAACA